CUUCCCUGCUCCUCCCUUUUCUAAUUUCCUUGUUUCCCUUUCAGACAGGAAAUGGAUUUUACUUUUGUUUCCUGUAAACUGCAUGGGAUCUUUCCAAAAUGGGUUAGAAACAAGAUUUGUGACCGGAGAAGGAUGCAGGUUUCUUAUCCCACUACAUCACCUCUACAUAAAUAUCAGACCAGUGAUGUCACUGUCCCGCCCUGUCAACCAACCACAGGCCAGUUGCCAUGGAUACUCCUGGGUGGGCAGCAACUGCUUUCCACAUCAUACAGAAGGAGGAAGAGCAGACAUCUGGUUUUAUGUGUGCUGGAUGUGUAUGCUUUUUGUGCAGUGUGAGUGUGUGUCUAUAUGCAAACACACUGUGUGGGAUAUAAAGACGGACAAAACAAGAGAUGAAGUGUAACCGCACUAUGUGUUUCUGCAGGAUACUGUGUGUGUGCUGUGCGGGAUAUGUAGAAAAGUUGAUUUCUAGGUACACUUCUUCUGAGUUUUUCUUUUUUACAGUUGUACCACAAGUUACUGCUUAUUGUAGAUCUGCUCAAGGUUUCUUGCCAAUUCAUUAAAAGGAAUAUUUUCUUCUUUC
This is a non-coding RNA of Labrus bergylta (ballan wrasse), 583 nucleotides long. NCBI's taxonomy places the organism in Eukaryota, Metazoa, Chordata, Actinopteri, Labriformes, Labridae. The record is from RefSeq and is a predicted model, not a curated record.